GAAAUAUCCAUCCAAACUAAUAUGCAGUGAGGAAAAAAAAGUAUUUGAUCCCCUGCUGGUUUUGAACGUUUGCCCACUGACAAAGAAAUGAUCAGUCUAUAAUUUUAAUGGUAGGUGUAUUUUAACAGUGAGAGACAGAAUAACAAAAAAAACAAAAAACAGAAAAACAUAUGUCAAAAAAAGAUAGAAAUUGAUUUGCAUGUCAAUGAGUGAAAUAAGUAUUUGACCCCUUAAAAUUAGUACUUGGUGGCAAAACCCUUGUUGUCAAUCACAGAGGUCAGAUGUUUGUUGCAGUUGGCCACCAAGUUUGCACACAUCUCACAAGGAAUUUUGUCCCACUCCUCUUUGCAGAUCCUCUCCAAGUCUUUAAGGUUUUGAGGCUGACGUUUGGCAACUCGAACCUUCAGCUCCCUCCACAGAUUUUCUAUGGGAUUAAGGUCUGGAGACUGGCUAGGCCACGCGAGGACCUUAAUGUGCUUCUUCUUGGGCCACUCCUUUAUUGCCUAUACUGUAUGUUUUGGGUCAUUGUGAUGCUGAAAUACCCAUGCUCUGGCUGAGGGAAGGACGUUCUCUCCCAAGAUUUGA
Molecule: non-coding RNA, 585 nt
Organism: Pelobates cultripes (western spadefoot toad)
Lineage: Eukaryota; Metazoa; Chordata; Amphibia; Anura; Pelobatidae
Source: the annotation of a GenBank genome assembly